This 305-nucleotide ribosomal RNA is filed under the name Candidatus Borrelia johnsonii. RNAcentral describes it as "bacterial SSU rRNA". It matches the Rfam family "Bacterial small subunit ribosomal RNA", at positions 29 to 334 of the family's 1533-position model. The record is from RNAcentral. Lineage: Bacteria; Pseudomonadati; Spirochaetota; Spirochaetia; Spirochaetales; Borreliaceae.
AACUAACGCUGGCAGUGCGUCUUAAGCAUGCAAGUCAGACGGAAUGUAGCAAUACAUUCAGUGGCGAACGGGUGAGUAACGCGUGGAUAAUCUACCUAUGAGAUGGGGAUAACUAUUAGAAAUAGUAGCUAAUACCGAAUAAGGUCAAUUGAGGUGUUAAUUGAUGAAAGGAAGCCUUUAAAGCUUCGCUUGUAGAUGAGUCUGCGUCUUAUUAGCUAGUUGGUAGGGUAAGAGCCUACCAAGGCUAUGAUAAGUAACCGGCCUGAGAGGGUGAACGGUCACACUGGAACUGAGAUACGGUCCAG